Small nuclear RNA from Peromyscus californicus insignis, 104 nucleotides. NCBI's taxonomy places the organism in Eukaryota, Metazoa, Chordata, Mammalia, Rodentia, Cricetidae. The record is from RefSeq and is a predicted model, not a curated record.
GCUCCAUUCAGCAGCGCAUAUACUAAACAGAGCAAUACAGGCAGGGUUAGCCAUGGCCCCUCCACAAGGAUGGCAGACAAAUUCAUGAAGCAUUUCAUACUUUU